This 469-nucleotide ribosomal RNA is filed under the name uncultured bacterium. Its description in RNAcentral is "partial 16S ribosomal RNA". It matches the Rfam family "Bacterial small subunit ribosomal RNA", at positions 28 to 507 of the family's 1533-position model. The record is from RNAcentral.
GAUGAACGCUGGCGGCGCGCCUAACACAUGCAAGUCGAACGGUUAAAGCACCUUUUAGGUGUGUAUAAAGUGGCGAACGGCUGAGUAACACGUGGGCAACCUGCCCUCCUCUUGGGGAUAGCCUCGGGAAACCGAGGAUAAUACCCGAUACUUCAAUGUGGCCGCAUGAUGACCUUGAGAAAGCUUUUGCGGAGAAGGAUGGGCCCGCGGCCUGUUAGCUUGUUGGUGGGGUAGAGGCCUACCAAGGCAAUGAUGGGUAGCUGGGUUGAGAGACCGACCAGCCAGAUUGAGACUGAGACACGGCCCAGACUCCGACGGGAGGCAGCAGUGGGGAAGCGUGAACAAUGGGCGAAAGCCUGAUGCAGCGACGCCGCGUGCGGGACGAAGGCCUUGGGGUUGUAAACCGCAUUCAGCAGGGACGAGGCGAUAAGUGACGGUACCUGCAGAAGAAGCCCCGGCUAACUACGUG